UGGGGAAUAUUGCACAAUGGGGGAAACCCUGAUGCAGCGACGCCGCGUGAACGAAGAAGGUAUUCGUAUCGUAAAGUCCUGUCCUAUGGGAAGAUAAUGACAGUACCAUAGAAGAAAGCUCCGGCUAAAUACGUGCCAGCAGCCGCGGUAAUACGUAUGGAGCGAGCGUUGUCCGGAAUUAUUGGGCGUAAAGGGUACGCAGGCGGUUUAAUAAGUCGAAUGUUAAAGAUCGGGGCUCAACCCCGCAAAGCAUUGGAAACUGAUAAACUUGAGUAGUGGAGAGGAAAGUGGAAUUCCUAGUGUAGUGGUGAAAUACGUAGAUAUUAGGAGGAAUACCAGUAGCGAAGGCGACUUUCUGGACACAAACUGACGCUGAGGUACGAAAGCGUGGGGAGCAAACAGG
This 403-nucleotide ribosomal RNA is filed under the name bacterium. Its description in RNAcentral is "partial 16S ribosomal RNA". It matches the Rfam family "Bacterial small subunit ribosomal RNA", at positions 355 to 776 of the family's 1533-position model. The record is from RNAcentral.